UAUACCGUGAAACUGCGAAUGGCUCAUUAAAUCAGUUAUCGUUUAUUUGAUAGUACCUUACUACUUGGAUAACCGUGGUAAUUCUAGAGCUAAUACAUGCUAAAAACCCCAACUUCGGAAGGGGUGUAUUUAUUAGAUAAAAAACCAAUGCCCUUCGGGGCUCUUUGGUGAUUCAUAAUAACUUAACGAAUCGCAUGGCCUUGCGCCGGCGAUGGUUCAUUCAAAUUUCUGCCCUAUCAACUUUCGAUGGUAGGAUAGUGGCCUACCAUGGUAUCAACGGGUAACGGGGAAUUAGGGUUCUAUUCCGGAGAGGGAGCCUGAGAAACGGCUACCACAUCCAAGGAAGGCAGCAGGCGCGCAAAUUACCCAAUCCCGACGCGGGGAGGUAGUGACAAUAAAUACUGAUACAGGGCUCUUUUGGGUCUUGUAAUUGGAAUGAGUACAAUUUAAAUCCCUUAACGAGGAACAAUUGGAGGGCAAGUCUGGUGCCAGCAGCCGCGGUAAUUCCAGCUCCAAUAGCGUAUAUUAAAGUUGUUGCAGUUAAAAAGCUCGUAGUUGAACCUUGGGCCUGGCUGACCGGUCCGCCUCACCGCGUGCACUGGUUCGGCCGGGCCUUUCCUUCUGGGGAUCCGCAUGCCCUUCACUGGGCGUGUCGGGGAACCAGGACUUUUACUUUGAAAAAAUUAGAGUGUUCAAAGCAGGCCUUUGCUCGAAUACAUUAGCAUGGAAUAAUGGAAUAGGACGUGCGGUCCUAUUUUGUUGGUUUCUAGGACCGCCGUAAUGAUUAAUAGGGAUAGUCGGGGGUAUCAGUAUUCAAUUGUCAGAGGUGAAAUUCUUGGAUUUAUUGAAGACUAACUACUGCGAAAGCAUUUACCAAGGAUGUUUUCAUUAAUCAGUGAACGAAAGUUAGGGGAUCGAAGACGAUCAGAUACCGUCGUAGUCUUAACCGUAAACGAUGCCGACUAGGGAUCGGGCGAUGUUUUUAUUUUGACUCGCUCGGCACCUUACGAGAAAUCAAAGU
Molecule: ribosomal RNA, 1021 nt
Filed under: Pseudogliophragma indicum
Lineage: Eukaryota; Fungi; Ascomycota; Dothideomycetes; Tubeufiales; Wiesneriomycetaceae
Description: SSU rRNA
Rfam family: Eukaryotic small subunit ribosomal RNA
Source: RNAcentral